Molecule: ribosomal RNA, 395 nt
Filed under: uncultured bacterium
Lineage: Bacteria
Description: partial 16S ribosomal RNA
Rfam family: Bacterial small subunit ribosomal RNA
Source: RNAcentral
AUACGUAGGGUGCAAGCGUUAAUCGGAAUUACUGGGCGUAAAGCGUGCGCAGGCGGUUUUGUAAGACAGUGGUGAAAUCCCCGGGCUCAACCUGGGAACUGCCAUCGUGACUGCAAGGCUGGAGUGCGGCAGAGGGGGAUGGAAUUCCGCGUGUAGCAGUGAAAUGCGUAGAUAUGCGGAGGAACACCGAUGGCGAAGGCAAUCCCCUGGGCCUGCACUGACGCUCAUGCACGAAAGCGUGGGGAGCAAACAGGAUUAGAUACCCUGGUAGUCCACGCCCUAAACGAUGUCAACUGGUUGUUGGGGAUUUAUUUUCUCAGUAACGAAGCUAACGCGUGAAGUUGACCGUCUGGGGAGUACGGCCGCAAGGUUAAAACUCAAAUGAAUUGGCGGGG